UUCUGAUAGACGCCAUCUUGUCGUGUGCGGACAUUUUGCUUGUUCUCUCUGACAUUUUGGUGUUUGACGGCUAGUUGCGCUGUGACAGUCGAUAGAAAGUUUACACAAGUGUUGCUUUGAGGUACAGUUCACACCAGUGUUGCUUUGCUGUUUUUUCCUGUCGUUUACAAGCUUCAGUCGAGUCAAGAGUCCGGAGUCUUCGCUGACCGAGGUUCUACUACUCUGAUCACCCGAGACAUCCCUGACGAGAAGAAGCUGACGGAAUGGCGGAGGAACAGCCCAGAACUUUCCUGGUGAGAGCGGAGGAGACUGAGUCCAACCCUUGGUCCUCGUCCUGGGAGAUGGAAACAGAACAGAGUAGAGGUUUUCUGGGUUCGGGUGAGGUACGGUGUGACGUCAUGUCACGUGGGCGUUACGCUAGCCGUGAAGGCCGACCUUGGUAACCUUAACAUGUUGCUGGCUGAUGGGGCUCUGGUGAAGCUGUGGCAGGCAGAAAGACCUGACAGUGGAUGGAUAGAACACUUUACUUUCAUCAUAAUGUAUGUGUGUCUGGAGAAAGGUUCCGUAAGACGCAUUUGCUCGAACUAUGUAUAAACAGAACAUCAAUAUAUUAAAACUAAAGAUU
Aplysia californica (California sea hare) is the source of this 625-nucleotide RNA transcript. RefSeq lists it as uncharacterized. The record is from RefSeq and is a predicted model, not a curated record. The transcript is spliced from 3 exons. NCBI's taxonomy places the organism in Eukaryota, Metazoa, Mollusca, Gastropoda, Aplysiida, Aplysiidae.